This 71-nucleotide transfer RNA is filed under the name Marmota monax (woodchuck). Its description in RNAcentral is "tRNA.Ala". Lineage: Eukaryota; Metazoa; Chordata; Mammalia; Rodentia; Sciuridae. The record is from RNAcentral.
GGGGUUGUGGCUCAGCGGUAGAACACUUGCCUAGCACAAGCAAGGCCCUGAAUUCAAUCCUCAGCGCCACA